UGGGGAAUAUUGCACAAUGGGCGCAAGCCUGAUGCAGCCAUGCCGCGUGUAUGAAGAAGGCCUUCGGGUUGUAAAGUACUUUCAGCGAGGAGGAAGGCGUUGUGGUUAAUAACCGCAGCGAUUGACGUUACUCGCAGAAGAAGCACCGGCUAACUCCGUGCCAGCAGCCGCGGUAAUACGGAGGGUGCAAGCGUUAAUCGGAAUUACUGGGUGUAAAGCGCACGCAGGCGGUCUGUCAAGUCGGAUGUGAAAUCCCCGGGCUCAACCUGGGAACUGCAUCCGAAACUGGCAGGCUAGAGUCUUGUAGAGGGUGGUAGAAUUCCAGGUGUAGCGGUGAAAUGCGUAGAGAUCUGGAGGAAUACCGGUGGCGAAGGCGGCCCCCUGGACAAAGACUGACGCUCAGGUGCGAAAGCGUGGGGAGCAAACA
RNAcentral lists this ribosomal RNA (427 nucleotides) under uncultured bacterium. RNAcentral's name for it is "partial 16S ribosomal RNA". It matches the Rfam family "Bacterial small subunit ribosomal RNA", at positions 355 to 774 of the family's 1533-position model. The record is from RNAcentral.